ACAAUGGAGAGUUUGAUCCUGGCUCAGGAUUAACGCUAGCGGCAGGCCUAAUACAUGCAAGUCGAACGGGAUUUCGGUUAGCAAUAAUUGAAUGAGAGUGGCGCACGGGUGCGUAACACGUAUGCAACCUACCUAUAACUGGGGGAUAGCCUCCCGAAAGGGAGAUUAACACCGCAUAACAUUAUGAAAUGGCAUCAUUUUAUAAUUAAAUCUACGGAGGUUAUAGAUGGGCAUGCGUCCGAUUAGCUAGUUGGUGAGGUAACGGCUCACCAAGGCUCCGAUCGGUAGGGGGUCUGAGAGGAUGAUCCCCCACACUGGUACUGAGACACGGACCAGACUCCUACGGGAGGCAGCAGUAAGGAAUAUUGGACAAUGGGCGCAAGCCUGAUCCAGCCAUGCCGCGUGAAGGAUGAAGGCCCUAUGGGUCGUAAACUUCUUUUAUACGGGACAAAACCCCCCGAUGCGUCGGGGGUUGAUGGUACUGUAAGAAUAAGGGUCGGCUAACUUCGUGCCAGCAGCCGCGGUAAUACGAAGGACCCGAGCGUUAUCCGGAUUUAUUGGGUUUAAAGGGUGCGUAGGCGGAUUAGUAAGUCAGUGGUGAAAGCCCAUCGCUUAACGGUGGAACUGCCAUUGAUACUGCUAGUCUUGAGUAUGGUUGAGGUGGGCGGAAUGUGUCAUGUAGCGGUGAAAUGCUUAGAUAUGACCCAGAACACCAAUUGCGAAGGCAGCUCGCUAAGCCAUAACUGACGCUGAUGCACGAAAGCGUGGGGAGCAAACAGGAUUAGAUACCCUGGUAGUCCACGCCCUAAACUAUGAUCACUCGUUGUUGGCGAUACACAGUCAGCGACUAAGGGAAACCAUUAAGUGAUCCACCUGGGGAGUACGACCGCAAGGUUGAAACUCAAAGGAAUUGACGGGGGCCCGCACAAGCGGAGGAGCAUGUGGUUUAAUUCGAUGAUACGCGAGGAACCUUACCUGGGCUUGAAAGUUAGUG
This 994-nucleotide ribosomal RNA is filed under the name Bacteroidota bacterium. RNAcentral's name for it is "bacterial SSU rRNA". It matches the Rfam family "Bacterial small subunit ribosomal RNA", at positions 1 to 993 of the family's 1533-position model. The record is from RNAcentral. Lineage: Bacteria; Pseudomonadati; Bacteroidota.